RNAcentral lists this unclassified non-coding RNA (221 nucleotides) under fungal sp. RNAcentral describes it as "partial internal transcribed spacer region". The stretch from base 1 to 46 matches the Rfam family "Eukaryotic small subunit ribosomal RNA", at positions 1786 to 1831 of the family's 1831-position model. The record is from RNAcentral. Lineage: Eukaryota; Fungi.
AAGUCGUAACAAGGUUUCCGUAGGUGAACCUGCGGAAGGAUCAUUAACAGUUUAUAUGUUUAUAUGUUGUUGUUGUUGUGAUGUGUGUAACACCCUGUGUGACAAUUGCCAUUCUUGGCAAUGUCAUAUAUCUUUUUUUUUAACCAUAUGUUUACCUGUUAUUCUUAUAUACCAUAUACCAUAUAUAUCGAAAACUGCCAGCAAUGGAUCACUCGGUUCUU